AAUUGAAAAAAAAGAAAAAAAAAACCCCGGCCUUUCCUCCCUCAACGUCUCUCUCACCCAGCAACCCGUCUCUUCGCCGCAGCAACCCAUCUCCCUACUCCCUCUCUCUCUCUUCGACGCAGCAUUCGAGUUCGAGGAAUGAGAAACAAGUCACCGACGAUUCGCGAGGAAGAGGAACCGAGUCAGUAGUCACCGAGCAGGCGAGCCGUCGAGGCAUCGAGCACCGAGGAAGAGGAGGAGCCACCGUUUUCAUCAUUUAAAUUCUAUCCGAGCAUCGUUGAAGCCCGAUUCAGCAGUCGAGCACCGGCGAGGCGUCGAGGCGUCGAACACCAAGGAAGAGGAGGAGCCGAGCACCGAGGAUUGAGGAAGCCCGAUUCAGUAAGACAACAACCGUGACUCGUGAGUGGUUAUGAAGUCAUAUUUGGAAAAUCUUGAAGCCGCAACCACUGGAAUCUACUCCAUUUAAAAUAGUAGAAGAAGUCAAGGAUUUAAAGGAGUUAAAUGCUAAUCAACUAAUUAAGGAGAGCAAACGAAAUUGCUGUUCUAAUGGCUUCGAGGUCAAAUGGAUAGGAUGGGAUAGGGAGAGUGUAACUGUUAAAGUUGGACAGAAAUCACUUACAAAAGCAUUGACGGAUGAAGUUGGACAAAACUCUCUCAAUAUUGAAUAUGGGAUAAACAUUAUUUUGUAAAGGAUUUUGCAACCACCGUGGCUUCCUUAUGACUGUGUCAGCUACUGGAUCAUCUAUGGGAGGAGAGAACUGUAAUUGAGAAAACCACCCUUGGACGUGAAUCUGAGUUUGAUCAGAAGGAUGUUUUCGGUUUUCACAACUACAAGGGAGGGCCCUUCACCAAAGAGGAGUUGGAUGAAGUUCGAGACAAGUGGGCUACUUACUUCAACGAUUGUGAAUUACCCCAGUGUAAUAAUUAGAGCAGGCUUGUAGUUAUCCGUGACUCUUACAUUAUUUUGUUAUUUAUCGAUUUAAUUGAUUACAUUUGAAUUAAUUCAGAAAUAUUAUUGGAAAUUUAAAAUUUAUAUCAUUUUUGAGGAAUGUCAAGAUGAUGUUUGGUGAAA
Spinacia oleracea (spinach) is the source of this 1072-nucleotide long non-coding RNA. RefSeq lists it as uncharacterized. NCBI's taxonomy places the organism in Eukaryota, Viridiplantae, Streptophyta, Magnoliopsida, Caryophyllales, Amaranthaceae. The transcript is spliced from 5 exons. The record is from RefSeq and is a predicted model, not a curated record.